UAGGACCUGCUUGUGCUCGUGAGGAGAGGCACGCCAUGGAGCAGCUCGUCAAGGACAGAUAUGCAUCCAUGGUGAAGUUACUAUAUAAGUAUAGGGUCAAGCACUGCCCCGACAUACAUCCUAUUUUGAGUUUUUCCUCAAAGUCCCAUGGCCGUGUUGCUGGUAGAGUUGGAAGCACCGCCCUUGAUUUUGAAAUUGGAGAAGGAAGACGGAGAGUUCAGUACAGUAAGGAUGCUCUAUAAUAUAGGAAUCCAGCUGAAUAUUCUUGCUUCUAAGGUCUCCUGUGUUGGAUGUGUUCUCAGUUUGCCUCUUUAUUUCCCUCUUUAUUUCUCCUUUUGCCUCUGCACUACUGCCAAAACUUCAUUUAUUUAUCUCCUUGAGUGAAAUAAUAAUAGAAGAUAGUAUUAACUACUGAUUCCAGCAGUAAUGGGUAUGAAGCAAAUGGCUCUUGCAUAUGUUCACUGUUUAUCCAAUACAGAAACCAGAAUAUGAAUUGUUAUGAGAAAAUUGCAGUUGAUUCUAUUUGAUAACAUGC
Triticum dicoccoides is the source of this 535-nucleotide long non-coding RNA. RefSeq lists it as uncharacterized. NCBI's taxonomy places the organism in Eukaryota, Viridiplantae, Streptophyta, Magnoliopsida, Poales, Poaceae. The transcript is spliced from 3 exons. The record is from RefSeq and is a predicted model, not a curated record.